ACACCUCCACACCCCCCCACCCCCCCCCACUUUAAAGUCACGGUCAACUCUCUCAUGAAGUCUUCGCACCCUUAUAUUCUUAGAUCUCCUUGCAGUAUAUCUGCUUCUCGGAAAACAACCCAAAUAUAAUUUAGACAAGGCCCUCAUAGGAUGUAGAGGUCCUGGAUGAGCGGGACCAGCAGCCUCUGCGAGUAUGUCAUCUACAUACACCACGCCCUUGUGGUGACGUAUUCGGAAUUCCUGUCUUCCCCUCCCUGACACCCCGCCUACUAAGACAGCACGGGUAGAGCAGCGUCUUUCGCUUUGCUGCACACAGAGCAGUCCCUGAGGGACCCGCUACUGUGGCGGGUACUUGUUCGGGUCUCGGUCUCACUUUCCUUUUCAGCAAAAAGGAAAUUGCAGUCCGUUCAGUUUUCGCCUGCCGGACAGCGAUCAUCAUCAUAAGAGAUUUUCCUCUCGCCCUCCCUUAAACAUUGAGUACUAAGAUUUCCCCAUCCAACUUAACAAGAAGUCGUUUUGCGGUGGCAUCUUUCUUAGUAGGUCUAUCAUAAAUAACUUGAACAGACAUAGCAACUAAACCCAGUAAAACCUCAAAGAAAAAGAUAAAACCAAGAGUUUAACCUUGAAAAAAUAAACCAGGAUAAAAUACAAACUUCUUCCACCAUGCAAAUCGUGCAGUAGCUGAGCACAGAAUACUAAAAAGCGUUUUAAAACAUUUGAGAAGCCCAGCGCAGUAGCACUGGCCUGUAAUCCCAACCACUCAGAAGGCCGCCUAAGCCAGGAGUAUAGCAAGGUCAAGGCCAGGCUCAAUAAUUUAGUGAGAUUCUGUCUCAAAAUAAAAAAUAAAAAGUACCGGGGAUGUAGUUCAGUGGUAGAGCACUCCCUGGUUCAAUUCCCAGGACCAAAAAAAAAAAAAAGAAUAAAAUUAACAAAACCACUUGAGGGAGUCUAGCCUAGGUCCGAGGCGGACAAGCAUGGAGGUUGUGUCCUGUCAGUGGGGCUGCUGGUUCUGGCUCCUAGGUCUGGCAGCAUAGAAGGGUCCUGUUUAGGAUCGGGUGGCCUCAGAAGUCACGCCUGAGACCCGGACUUCUAAGGUGAAGAAAAUGCUCGAACAGCAGGCCCCCUGAAGAGUGGAAGGGCAAUGGAUUGGAAAACUUCGACAUGGGGAGAAGAAACGUGAUUUAAAAUAAAGAACCUUCAAGACAUUAUGUUUCUUUUUUGUAGCAUUCUGGAAAAUUUGAGAACAAGUUGGCGACAUCUUUCAGCUGGAACCAUUGCUCAUCAAGUUUGCUGAGAAGCUAAUGAUUUUAUUACAGAAAGCUACAUCGUCAUGUACAGUGUCCAGGUGCAGUGGUGUAUGACUUUAAUCCCAGUCACCUUGGAGGCUAAGGAGGGAGGAUCGCAUGAGCCCAUGAAUUGGAGACCGCCUGUGCAACAGAAAUUGGAGAAUGAAAAUGAAAAGUUCAUGGAAAAAAAAUGGAUUUAAGUAAGUCUGCAGUACCAUUUUCUGGGAACUGGCCUUUGAUGAUGGUCUUCUGAACUUCUCUUGGCUUUCUUGCAUCAGGGCCCUAUUUGCUAUUGUGUCAUCCUUUGCAUUUUGGGUCAUCAUCUCAUUUGGGUAGAGCACAUCCUUUUGCAGCUUCCUUAGCAAUGAGUGUGUGGGAGGUACAUUUUUGUGUUGUUUUGUAUAUAUGAUGUCUAAGUUGAUAUAGAAGUCUAAAGUUUUCUACAUAUGCUUUGAUUUUGUUUUGUUAAAUCCACCAUGCGACCAGCGCACUGGUUUCAUUAAUGAGGUUCUUGGCAUAAAAGUUAGCUAGUGAGAUCGAAAUAAAACACACAGACUCAGUUACCUUUUUCUAUGACCAGGCCCUAGACGGCUCCCCUCUCUGUUUCCCACCUCGAACCACCCUGUAGGCCAGCAAGGAUUACUCAGGGCUAGCAGGAGAGAGACAGAGGGAGCACGCCAGGGAGUAGCCUUUUAUUGGGGAACAAGAAAUUCAGGGGAGAAUUCCAUCCAAUGAAGGUUGAGGGGGGCCACACUCCAAGGUCAGGGUCAGUGAUUGGCCCCCAGGGUCAGUGGUCAGUCACGCCCCCACAUGGACAGGCUCUCUCAUCAGGAAAGGGCCGGGAAAGCUCCAACACAGUUAGCCAGAGCGCCUCAGACCCAAACCGGGAGUUGCCCAGUCACGUGUGAGAAUGGCUUCCCACAGUUAAACAUUAUAGUUUCUGCUGUCGGGAUUCUUUCACACAUGGAGUUCAGAGGGAGGCAGUCCUAGGACUGGUUCGGUCUCCCAGGGGUGUCAUGAGGACACAGACUUCCCUCUUCUUCGAGCUCCUAUAUCUUCAUCCUGUCAACCUGAAGACCAGGGUUUUAGGCUUUAGCUUUUAAAGUGUCUAUUCACAAGUCAGGCAAGGAAGAAACAGUUACCUCUACAGUUUGAAGGAAAAAGUCUGCAGAAUAUGCCACACAAAUUUUGGGAAUGCUACCUAGAAUUUGAUUUUCAUUUCCAUUUUGUCUAAGAGGUGUCAUUGACUUCUGAUUUGUCCACCGCUGUACUGAAACUUCUACUUUGGGAUUUAAAUGUUUAAUUUUAUUCUUGACAUAUGAAUAUUCUUGACAUGAAUAUUCUUCUUUCAUACAACUUAUUUAAAGAUUGAACUAUUCUAUAUAUAUUUUUUUCAACCAAGAGUUUCAUUAGGGGGCUGCCGGAAGAGGAAGAAAAGGAGAGGCAAAGAGCAGAGAGAAGAGAGAAAGAGGUCAGAGAGCAGAGGGGAAGAGGGCAGAGACCGUGAGCUUGCAAGCUUCGGCUUAAGAAGGGUUGCGUAGGCUAUGUGGAGGGUGUCCCACGGGGAUUGGUUGAGAGAACUUUUGCAUUUGGUGCUCUUUGGCUUGGCAUUCUUGGAGAGGAGGGGGAGGGGUAAGGGAUUCCAAGAUGUUCUUGCAAGAUGGAAACUUAACUUCAGAGGGGAGUGUCACCCACACACCCAACAUUCCUCCCUUUUUGUUUUAUGUUGGGAGCAGGGCGACAAGAUCCACAAGAUCAUCUAUUUCCUGCUGGAGAGGGACAAGUGUGAAGGAAGGGAGGCUGGUCAGGGUGCGGGGACAAAAGAAGCAUAGCUGUGAAGGCCAGGGUGCUGAAGAUGUGAAUUUCCUUGCGGCUGAAAUCGAUGAAAGUUCCUCGAAGCCACAGGUCAUGGAUAGUCUCUAUCCAACCCUUGUCCCUUGUCCUGUUGGAGGGCCUCCAGGAACUCCACGAACCAGCCAGCCACGCUGCAUGAGCCUGAAAACACCAAAGAUACCAUUCAUAGGCUGAUGGUGGAUUCGAAGGAGGCCAACGAGAAAAUGGGCGCUGGUUAGUCUCCGCUCACGUGGUGAUCUCUGGUGGGAUGGGAGUCCUGCUUAAAAGCAGGGGAGUCCCAUCCUAGUCUGGGCACCAAUGAAAGGCGAAUGACUCACGAGACAGAGAUUCAACCAAGAGAUUUUACUGGGGUCUGCCCAAAGAGGAAGAAAAGGAGAGGUAGAGCAGAGAGAGGAGAGGGAGAAGAGGAAGAGAGCAGAGAGCUGAACAUGUUCUACAUUUUUGAAGUAAUAAAUUCAUGGUAUCUAAAAAAAAAGCAUUUGAGGAUGAGGAAAGUAGCUCAGUGGUAGACUGUUUUCCUAGCAUGUAUGAAGUCCUGGGUUCAAACCCCAGCACCAUACACACAAAGCACAAACAACAGCAGAAAAACACACUCUUGAAAGAUUUCAAAUGUAUUGUUAUGUUUUAUUCAUGGUUUUUUUUUUUUUUGGUGGUGCUGGGGGGAAUUGAACUCAGAGCCUUGUGCAUCUAAGGCAAGCAUUCUACCAACUGAGCUAUAUCCCCAGCCCUAUUGUUAUGCUUUAUAGUCAAUCCAUGCUACCUGAAAAAUUCUUUUUAAUCUAUUCAACCUUCAUUUUGUAUUUAGAUGGUGAGUCAUCCACAAGUCAUCUUUAGCCAGUAAAGGGAACAUUUUUAUAUCUUUAUUACUCCUCCCAUUGAGAGGUGGAGUCUUCUUGAAUCUGGGCUGGCCUUGACCAACAGAAUGUGACAGAAGUGAUACCCAGGAACUUCGGAGGCUAGGUCAGAGGGAGCGAACAGCUUCCACCUGGGAUCCAUCUUGCAGACUUGAACUGUCAAGUAAGAAGGCUGACUGCUCUGAGGCUGCAUGUUGUAAGAAAACCCAAGGCUUUGUGGAGAAAAAUGCAGGUCCAGAGUUUCAGUCCUCAGCUGGCAGUCUGUACAUUGGGGAGCAGAGUAAUCGCUGCCAAAAUUGCAAGUUGGUGAUUAUCAUAAAUUAUUUGUCUCAAAGCCUUCAUGUUUUGAAUUUUUUUUUUGUAGCAAUACAGAAAUGGAACAGAGACAAACAGUAAGCCAACAAACAAUAUGAAAUAGAAGUGGAUAGAAAUAGACUAAGGAAUAGAGAAGAUGAGUUAGAAAGAUUGCAGUUAAAGGCUUAAAUUGUUUAUUUAUAUAUUUAUUUAUUGGUACUGGGGAUUGAAACCAGGGUGCUUGAUAGACCCAACCUGAUCUUUUCUUAAAAUUGGGAGCCAUCUUGCCACAAAGCCAUGAGAAGAUAAUUUCGGCUUUACUAUAAAUUACUGCAAAUUCUGAACCUGCUCGGAAUGCCUGGCUCUCUGACCAGAUAGCAGCCCUCUCUGAAACUUAGUGAUACCUCAUAAAUAUUGGCCUUCCCUGGCCAGACAACGACCCUCUCUGAGGCUCUAAUGGUCUUCAUAAAUUCUGAUGUUGGGGCCAGCAAAAAAUGUAAACUACAUUUAGUGUGAUUCUUGUCAGAGUUCUGUUAUCUGUAACCCCCCUUUGUGUAACUUUCUGGGAUGCAGGAAAGCUGGGGUGCUGUCUUGUUCCCGCCGUUUUGGGAGGGAGAGGCAGCCCCGCCGGUCGAAAUAAUAAGCUUGCUUUAAUUUGAUUUUAAUUGGAGUCAGUGGUCUUUUCUUGCGUCCUGGUCUAACAGUGCUUUUAAUUUAAUUUAAUGUUUUUAUUUUUAUUUUAUUUUAUUUUUGGUACUGGGAUUGAACCUAGAGGCCCUCUACCACUGAGCAAUGCCUCUGGCCCACUUAAUUUUGAGAUAGAGUCUUGCUAAGUUGCCCAGGCUGGCUGGCUUUGAACUUGUGAUUAUCCAGCCUCAGCCUCCUGAAUUUUUGGAAUUGCUGGUCGGUGGCACCACACUCAGCAUGAGGGCUAAAAUUUUAGACAAGAGGGUGAGGAAGUUUCAUUGUUUUGUUACUGGGUAGAGGGUCAUGGGAGGUCCUCCAAAAGGAAGCUGGAUCUCAACUCAGGCUGUGAUUUUCCUUGACAUUGGCACAACAAGGAAUUUAGGUCUGGGUCAAAUUGAGGCACAGGCUAGCCUAGGCAUGGCACGGGUCUGGAUUUGAAGCUAGGCCUGGUUGUGCUGGCCUUGCUGCUGCUGCUGCUGCUUCUAUGGGUGUAUGGGCACUGGAACCAUCAGCCUGGGUCCAGCCCUGGCCAGCAUGCUCACUGGUGCCUCUACUGCCUUUUCACCUAGUGCUAAGGCCAAAAGUGGAGCCUCAGCCUGGAGGCACUGCAGAAGGAUCUGGAUAACAAGCUUUUUGGAUAGCAUCUUGUGCAGAAAGUCAUCUUAAACACUGUGUCUGAUUCCUAAGCAAUCUGGGGCCCAAGAAACCUCUCAUGCCCUCCCUGCAUGGGUGGACAGGCACGGGCAAGAAUUUUGUCAGCAAGAUCAUCUUGGAGAAUAUUUACGAGGGCAGUCUGAACAGUGACUAUGUUCACCUGUUUGUGGCCACAUUGCAUUUCCUUCAUGCCUCAAAUAUCACCCUGUAUAAGGAUCAGUUACAGUGUGGAUUCAAGGCAAUGAGAACUCCUGUGUGAGGUUCAUCUUCAUCUUCGAUGAGAUGGACAAGAUGCACUCUAGUCUCAUAGAUGCCAUCAAGCCUAUUCUGGACUAUUACAAGUGGUGGAUGAGGUCUCUUACCAGAAAGCCAUCUUCCUGUUCCUCAGGUGAGCAAUGCUGGAGCAGAAAGGAUCACAGGUGUGGCUUUGCACUUCUGGAAAAGAGGGAAGAACUCAAGCUCAAGGACAUGGAGCAUGCCUUGUCCAUGGUAGUCUUCAGUAAAUGGAAUAGUGGCUUCUGGCACAGCAGUUUAAUUGACCAAAACCUAAUUGAUUAUUUUGUCCUCUUCUUCCUCCUGGAAUACAAACAUCUGAAAAUGUGCAUCAGGGUUGAGAUGCACCCAGGGUUAUGAGAUUGAUGAGGACAUUAUAAACAGAGAGUGGCUGAAGAGAUGACAUUUUUUCCCCAAGGAAGAGAGUUCGCUGACAAGGGCUACCGAUGAACCCAGCCUAAUACCAUUUUAAGAUUGUUUUAUUAUAAAUUACUGCAAUUUCUAAACUUGUUUGGAAUGCCUGCUCAUGCCUUGAACUCACCCAUGCCUAGCUUUUCUUGACCAGAUAACAACCCUCUACACACACACACACACACACACACACACCAAAACAAAACAUUACAAAAUAAAAAACAUGAAGGCUUUGAGACAAAUAAUUUAUGACAAUCACCAACUUGCAAUUUUGGUAGAGAUUACUCUGCUCCCUACUGUACAUAAGGGUAUAGGCACCUCAUAAAUUCUGGUGUUGGGAUCAAAAUUUACUCUCUAACUUGAAAUGUUGAACCAUCUAGACCAUUAACCUACUAUCUGCCUUUGUAUUAUGCUUGUUAAAAUCCUGUUAUCUGUAAAUUCUCAAGACACUCCCCCUUUUGCAACUUUUUGUGUUGCAACUUUUUGCAACUUUUUGAGGCACAGGCUAGUAGGCUCAGCAGGGGUCUGGAUUUGAAGCUAGGCCUGGCUGUGCUGGCCUGCUGCUGCUGCUGCUUCCAUGCUUCUCUUCCUAGAGAGCUGGGGUACUGAUCUCUAGCCACAGGUUUUCAGGAGAGACAAUCCUGGCCAGAAUUACAAACUUGCUUUAAUUUGAUUUAAAAUUGGAGUCGGUGGUCUUUUCUUUGUGUCAUGGUUUAACACUACAAGACAGUGUUCACCAAGUUGGAUUAUUAUCUUGAUGACUGAUGCCCAAGUCAUUGCUUUGAGAGAAACUCAAUGCUCAGUUUGACCAGCUCCUUUCUUGGGAAGAGAAAUCAAAUGGAUGUUUCCAACUAAUGUUUCCUGUUGGAUGUAUCAGGAAUUCUCCUGGGUCUUGUUCCCAUUCCUGGGAGGCCACACCACCACACCUUACAGGCCCUGGACAUGGAGAGGAAGAUUUCAAGCCUUCAGAGGAGGAAGUAACAACUCCCAGUUCACCCAUUCCAGAGCUCAUGAUUUAAAAAAAAAAAAAAUGUUUUAAUUUUAUGUGUUUCGGUUUCAAGGAAAGACAAGUUUUACUGAAAAUGUGAUAACUUUAUUUAAGAUGUUUUUUAACAUUAUGAGAAACUUUUCAGAUUCAAAAAGAAAGAAAUUGAGGCACAGAUUGAUUUUACUAAGAAGAGAAUCUACACCUACCAAGUGCCAUUUGUAAUCAAGUAUGACUAAGAGACAAGGUAGAAUAUGGGUGUUAAGAGAGGACUGCACUAGCUACAUCUUAGGUAGGCAUAUUUAUAUGUGUAAAAUCUAUAGAAGAAACAUGAUCUAAGGGUAUUUUUAGUCCUCCUCUGUGUUGGUAGCUGAACAUAUUAUAUAACUGUUACCUACUGAGGCAGGAAAAUAACUGAGACAGGCAGAUAGGAAACUUGGGCCCCUCCAGAGUCAGGUUUUUCUGUGUAACGGGGCUGAGAGACCACAGACACAAGCCAGGACUCAUCAAAGUCAGGCCAAUUCCUGCGUAAGUAGAAAAACUACAAAAAAACUUCCAAAAAAAAAAAAAGCUCAGUAAGUGAGUCAGGAGUUCAUGGACACUGAAUGCCUUAUCCAGGAUUGGGUAAGGGGCUAAUUUCCUUAACCCUGUAGACUCAUAUAAACCCCUAGACAACAGAUAUCUUCCCCUGUAGGAGUUCUGAUUUCUUUCUUUGUAUUACUCUAAUAAAUCCUGUUACUUUUCUCUCACCCUUGUGUCUGUGGAUUUCAUUCUUCAAAUUCACUAGACAAAGAACCCACACAAUCCCAUACUCCAAC
Molecule: long non-coding RNA, 8116 nt
Filed under: Marmota monax (woodchuck)
Lineage: Eukaryota; Metazoa; Chordata; Mammalia; Rodentia; Sciuridae
Source: RNAcentral